GAGGAUGUAGCUCAGUGGUAGAGUGCCUGCUUAGCAUGCAUGAGGUCCUGGGUUCAAUCCCUGGUACCUCCA
This 72-nucleotide transfer RNA is filed under the name Camelus bactrianus (Bactrian camel). It matches the Rfam family "tRNA". From Rfam's summary of the family: Transfer RNA (tRNA) molecules are approximately 80 nucleotides in length. RNAcentral also lists the same sequence under 1 other name. Lineage: Eukaryota; Metazoa; Chordata; Mammalia; Artiodactyla; Camelidae. The record is from Rfam by way of RNAcentral.